GACGAACGCUGGCGGCGUGCUUAACACAUGCAAGUCGAACGGAAAGGCCCUGCUUUUGUGGGGUGCUCGAGUGGCGAACGGGUGAGUAACACGUGAGUAACCUGCCCUUGACUUUGGGAUAACUUCAGGAAACUGGGGCUAAUACCGGAUAGGAGCUCCUGCUGCGUGGUGGGGGUUGGAAAGUUUCGGCGGUUGGGGAUGGACUCGCGGCUUAUCAGCUUGUUGGUGGGGUAGUGGCUUACCAAGGCUUUGACGGGUAGCCGGCCUGAGAGGGUGACCGGCCACAUUGGGACUGAGAUACGGCCCAGACUCCUACGGGAGGCAGCAGUGGGGAAUAUUGCACAAUGGGCGGAAGCCUGAUGCAGCAACGCCGCGUGCGGGAUGACGGCCUUCGGGUUGUAAACCGCUUUCGCCUGUGACGAAGCGUGAGUGACGGGAAUGGGUAAAGAAGCACCGGCUAACUACGUG
RNAcentral lists this ribosomal RNA (468 nucleotides) under uncultured bacterium. Its description in RNAcentral is "partial 16S ribosomal RNA". It matches the Rfam family "Bacterial small subunit ribosomal RNA", at positions 28 to 507 of the family's 1533-position model. The record is from RNAcentral.